AGUGAUUUUGAUGAACAGUACUUCGAUGAAUAGUGUCGUGUCUGCUACAACUCGCCCCCAAAACGAAAGUACAGAUGAGCAACCGAACUUUGAUACCAUGUAAACAAACAAGUGAAAGACAUAACGACUAGGGUUUCGUAUUAUUAUCAAAGAGACAAAUAUAAUGAAAAUGAAAGACAUAAUAUAUAGAGUAGCUAAUUAGGGUAUUCUUGGUAAAUGGCCCAAUCAUAAAACCCAAUACAAGAUAAAACUCAAAAUCUUAUUAGGCUAACACCAUCAACCCUUUUAAACAAGUUGUUAAUCAAAUACCAUUCUCUUCCAAUUCCAAAGAACCCUUUUUUUAUAACUUUUUAUAUUGACAUAUUGUUCUAAAUUUUUUUUAAUAUAAAUUUAUUAAAGUAUUUGGGUUUUUGAGUUUGAUUGUAGUUCCCAAAGUGUUUUAGUUUUAUUUAACUAUAUAUGAUAUUUGGUUUGUUAAUUAAAUUUGAAGUCAAGUUUUAUAUUUUUCCAUGACAAGCAUCAAAUUCAUUUUUUUAACGGCGGAAGUAUUAUCAAAUUCAUUUUUUAGUACAGGUUUUGAAUGAAAGCUUAAACUAAGAACCCGUAAAUAUACUAAUUAAGGUGAACGAAUGACUACGAUUAUAAAAGUACAAUUAUUAUUUUAUAUUGAUUCCGUCUAGUGACUUACAUUUUAUUUCUUUUAUAUGACUAAAAUGCAAAUAUUUUUCUCUAUAUUUUAAAAUGGUUGUCCAAUGGCAGAUCCAACCGGAAGUCAAAUAGGAUUCCUACUGACCGUUUGAUUGACCAUUGACUAAAAGUCAACUGUCGGAUCCAUUAUCCAUAAUCUUCUGCCUUAUGGUAAACAUAUGUUAUAACUUAUAAUUUAGAACCAAAUACGAAUAACUAAAACUCCAAUUAACCAAGAAUUACAACUAACAAAAUCUCACCAAAGAAAAACCCAAUUUAUAAUUAGCAAAAUCAAACAAAAAAAAACUCAAUCAUUUAAUAGCUGAAGUUAACAAAUAAUAAUUAAACCAACAACUAACAAUUAUUACCAAAAAAAUAUACAAAUACGACGAGUAGUUGCAUUUAUUUAUUACUUUUACAAAGAUGGAAGAUGGCAGGGAUUUUUACUUGUUCAUCCAAAGUUGGCAGGAAAGGGUGAGAAACAGGCAGUGGCAAUACAUUGCAUUCGCAUCCGCGACUGAAUUAUCACCGAGUGAUAGAAACACGUAGUGGCAAAUUCUAAUUAGACAUUUCUAUUUCUGUGAAAAGUGAUUGAAGACUUGGACCACUGACAUCCACGUGAAAUUGGAUUAUGGUUAUUUGAAUUUCUAAGGUUUCAUUUAAUGUCUCUCUAAAUAAAAGAAACAAAUUUUAUUUCUAUGAAAUUCAGAAUUACUUUUAUUAUUCAAAAAAAUGUUUUACUUUAAUUGUUCUAAUUAAAAAAGAAAAUAACAUUAGCAUAAAUUAACAUCAGUAGUAUUAGUAUAUUCAUAUUACUCUAAACAUGUUCAUCAAAUCCUCAUACGGAUCUAAUAUUCUAAUUUGUUGAAAACAAAAUAUAUUGUUUUUUCCUUUAAUAGCCAACCAUUAAUCUUAUUAACAGGUGCUUGGCUAAGCUUACUUUAAAGUUUUUUAAUUUAUUACGGGCUCCACACCCGGAAAACCAAUGUUUUGAAAUAGAUGUUUUUUACUUAAAUAGCUUAUAACGGUUUCAGACAUGAGAUAACCAUUUUUGAUAAGUUACUAUUCACUGGCUUAUUAAAAGCUACCAAAAACUUUUUUAAAAACUUCAUUUCCGUAUCGUUAUAAGUUAAUGAGUUAAUAACUUAAAAAUGCUUAUCAUUUUAAAUAAGCUUUCCCAAACACCCUCUAAGCCAAGACUAGCAAAGAAACAACCCGACAAAAAUAGUUACAGCAAAAUUAAAUGAAGAUUUUUUAUCCAUUCAACUCACAAGACAUUAGAAUUUUUAUAUAGAUAAAAAGAUGUAUAAAUACGAUGUUCAAUGGCAAAUUUACAUAUAUACUUAUUGUGUUUAUGGGUACUUUUUAGUUUCAAUAGUUUUUAUGAAAAACUAUUGAAAGUUUUUUUUGUCUAUAUAUGGUGGAGCUUAUGAAAUAUCUUAUAUCAUUGAGAGUCAUUAUAGAAUGAUAUUUAUAAUAACAUAUUGUCCUAUAGGGUCAUACAUUAUAGCAAGUUACAUCUAACUGAUUAUUUAUUAGUAUAAUUUUAUUAUUAAUAAAUACCAACACUUGUAUUUAAUACACAUGUUUUACCCAACAUAUUAUGUAGAUAUAAAUACAUAUACAGUUUAAAUCAUAUAAAACUUGUAUAAAAUCGUUCAUCCAGCCUAAAUAGCAAGUAUACAGAUAAUAUACACACAUAACACGUAAUUUCUAUAAAAUACUUAAUAUCUAUGUGUAAGAUGUAAGAGACCAUGCACUCACUUGAAAAGGUGGUGAUUCCAAACUCAGACAGCGCUUCGUUUCUUAAAAAAUAAUUUCCUUCGACGAAACCUAGUAUUAUUACCACUAGAGUUUAGUCUAUUAUUCGUCGAGACUAAUUAAUAGUCUAGCUAUUAUUACUAUUAUAUAAGCGUUAUAAAAUACUUAUAUAACCCAUAAUAAUAGCCCAAGUACUUAUUAUAAGUUCCUAAUAACGUUACUAUAAUUAAAUAAAAGUUAUAUUAAAAAUAGCGUAGGCGUAGCUCACUUACAACAGGUUUUAUAGAAAACCGGGCUUUGCUUGGAGCAGCAUUCACGAGCCUAAAAUCUCUUAUUCUCGGAGCCGUCUAGCACUCUGGGGCUUCCGCCUCGUGCUAGGGAGGUUCCCUAGGCUUUUCAGGGGGUUUUAGGGCUAGAGAGAGGUUCUAGAGAGAGUAAAGAGAAGAAAGAAU
Molecule: long non-coding RNA, 2900 nt
Filed under: Lactuca sativa (garden lettuce)
Lineage: Eukaryota; Viridiplantae; Streptophyta; Magnoliopsida; Asterales; Asteraceae
Description: long non-coding RNA (LSAT_LNC001296)
Source: RNAcentral